GAACUUGGUCGUACCAUCUUGUCAAUGCCUGAUCUCGUCUGAUUUCAGAAACUAAGCGUGUUGGGCCUGGUUAGUACUUUCAUGGGAGACUGCUUGGAAUACAAAGUACUACA
Molecule: ribosomal RNA, 113 nt
Filed under: Periophthalmus magnuspinnatus
Lineage: Eukaryota; Metazoa; Chordata; Actinopteri; Gobiiformes; Gobiidae
Source: RNAcentral